RNAcentral lists this ribosomal RNA (3148 nucleotides) under Propionibacterium australiense. Its description in RNAcentral is "bacterial LSU rRNA". It matches the Rfam family "Bacterial large subunit ribosomal RNA". Lineage: Bacteria; Bacillati; Actinomycetota; Actinomycetes; Propionibacteriales; Propionibacteriaceae. The record is from RNAcentral.
UGUGGCAAGCUACUUAGUGCGAUCGGUGGAUGCCUUGGCACCAAGAGCCGAUGAAGGACGUUGUAACCUGCGAUAAGCCCUGGGGAGUUGGUAGACGAGCUGUGAUCCGGGGAUUUCCGAAUAGGGAAACCUUGAAGGGAACCGGUUGUGAGGCCGGCGACUGCCCCCUGAAUGUAUAGGGGGGUUUGAGGGAACGUGGGGAAGUGAAACAUCUCAGUACCCAUAGGAAAAGAAAACAAUAGUGAUUCCGUGAGUAGUGGCGAGCGAAAGCGGAUGAGGCCAAACCGUGCGUGUGUGAGAGCCGGCAGGUGUUGCAUGUGCGGGGUUGUGGGAGUGUUCUUGCCUGAGCUGCCGUGAGGGCGGGGAGUGAUAAAGCAGUGUUGAAGUGGAAGCGGUUGGGAAGCCGUACCGUAGAGGGUGAUGGUCCCGUACACGUAGUGCACUGUCUUUCUUGAGCAUGUCCCAAGUAGUGCGGAACCCCUGGAAUUCCGCAUGAAUCUGGCGGGACCACCCGUUAAGCCUAAAUACUCCUUGGUGACCGAUAGCGGACCAGUACCGUGAGGGAAAGGUGAAAAGUACCCCGGGAGGGGAGUGAAAUAGUACCUGAAACCGGUCGCAUACAAUCCGUCGGGGCCCUGCCUGUUUGGGUGGGGUGACGGCGUGCCUUUUGAAGAAUGAGCCUGCGAGUUAGUGGUGUGUGGCGAGGUUAACCCGUGGUGGGGGAGCCGUAGCGAAAGCGAGUCCGAACAGGGCGUUUGAGUCGCAUGCUCUAGACCCGAAGCGGUGUGAUCUACCCAUGGCCAGGGUGAAGCGUCGGUAAGACGUCGUGGAGGCCCGAACCCACCAGGGUUGCAAACCUGGGGGAUGAGCUGUGGGUAGGGGUGAAAGGCCAAUCAAACACUGUGAUAGCUGGUUCUCCCCGAAAUGCAUUUAGGUGCAGCGUCGCGUGUUUCUUGUCGGAGGUAGAGCACUGGAUGGUCUAGGGGGCCUAUCAGCUUACCGAAAUCAGCCAAACUCCGAAUGCCGGCAAGCCAGAAGCGUGGCAGUGAGACGGCGGGGGAUAAGCUUCGUCGUCGAGAGGGAAACAGCCCAGAUCAUCAGCUAAGGCCCCUAAGGGGUGGCUAAGUGGGAAAGGAUGUGGAGUUGCGGUGACAACCAGGAGGUUGGCUUGGAAGCAGCCAUCCUUGAAAGAGUGCGUAAUAGCUCACUGGUCAAGUGAUUCCGCGCCGACAAUGUAGCGGGGCUCAAGCCAUCCGCCGAAGCUGUGGCAUCCGCGCGUGUACCCGGCAUGGUCCCUUUCGGGGGGUUGUGUCCAGGUGUGUGGAUGGGUAGGGGAGCGUUGUGUGUGUGGUGAAGCGCUGGGGUGACCUGGUGUGGAGUGCACGCAAGUGAGAAUGCAGGCAUGAGUAGCGUAUGACGGGUGGGAAACCCGUCCGCCGAAUAUCCAAGGGUUCCGGGGUCAAGCUGAUCUGCCCCGGGUGAGUCGGGUCCUAAGGCGAGGCCGACAGGCGUAGUCGAUGGUUAACGGGUUGAUAUUCCCGUACCGGCCCAGCAACGAUCCUGUUGAAUCGGAUGAUGCUAAGCACGCGAGACGUCUUCUGUGCUCUUUGAGUGUGGGGGGUGUUGAGUCUGUGAACCGAGUCUGUAGUAGACAAGCUGCGGAGGGACGCAGGAAGGUAGCUCGACAGUCGUUAUGGUAAGGCUGUUAAGUCUGUGGGGUGACUGGUAGGUAAAUCCGCUGGUCGUGUGCCUGAGAGAUGAUGAGUGGGGCCCCGUUUCGUGGGUUCGUAUUCGAGUGAUCCUAUGCUGCCUAGAAAAGCUUCGUGAGCGAGUUGCUGUGCCGCCCGUACCCCAAACCGACACUGGUGGAUAGGUAGAGAAUACCGAGGCGAUCGAGAUAAUCGUGGUGAAGGAACUCGGCAAAAUCCUCCCGUAACUUAGGGAUAAGGGAGACUUGAUGCGUGAUGGGUCCGUGCGGCCCGGAGGCGUUGAUAGUCGCAGUGAAUUGACCCAAGCGACUGCUUACUAAAAGCACAGGUCCGUGCCAAGUUGCAAGACGAUGUAUACGGACUGACUCCUGCCCGGUGCUGGAAGGUUAAGGGGAACUGUUAGCCCUCGGGCGAAGCGGUGAACUUAAGCCCCAGUAAACGGCGGUGGUAACUAUAACCAUCCUAAGGUAGCGAAAUUCCUUGUCGGGUAAGUUCCGACCUGCACGAAUGGAGUAACGACUUGGGUACUGUCUCCACCACGAACUCGGUGAAAUUGCAUUACGAGUAAAGAUGCUCGUUACGCGCAGCAGGACGGAAAGACCCCGGGACCUUUACUAUAGUUUGGUAUUGGUGAUCGGUGCGACUUGUGUAGGAUAGGUGGGAGACUGGGAAGCGGUCACGCUAGUGGUCGUGGAGUCGUCGUUGAAAUACCACUCUGGUCGUUCUGGUUAUCUAACCUAGGACCGUUAUCCGGUUCAGGGACAGUGCCUGAUGGGUAGUUUGACUGGGGCGGUCGCCUCCCAAAAGGUAACGGAGGCGCCCAAAGGUUCCCUCAGCCUGGUCGGCAACCAGGUGUUGAGUGUAAGUGCACAAGGGGGCUUGACUGUGAGACAGACAUGUCGAGCAGGGACGAAAGUCGGGACUAGUGAUCUUCUGGUGGCUUGUGGAAGCGCCAGAACUCAACGGAUAAAAGGUACCCCGGGGAUAACAGGCUGAUCUUGCCCGAGCGCUCACAGCGACGGCAUGGUUUGGCACCUCGAUGUCGGCUCGUCGCAUCCUGGGGCUGGAGUCGGUCCCAAGGGUUGGGCUGUUCGCCCAUUAAAGCGGCACGCGAGCUGGGUUAAGAACGUCGUGAGACAGUUCGGUCCCUAUCCGCUGCGCGCGUAGGAAUCUUGAGAAGAGCUGUCCUUAGUACGAGAGGACCGGGACGGACUAACCUCUGGUGUGCCAGUUGUUCCUCCAGGAGCAUGGCUGGUUGGCUACGUUGGGAAGUGAUAACCGCUGAAAGCAUCUAAGUGGGAAGCACGCUUCAAGAUGAGGGUUCCCCAGUCUUUGUGCUGGUAAGGCCCCCGGUAGACCACCGGGUUGAUGGGUCGGACGUGGAAGCGCCGUGAGGUGUGAAGCUGACCGAUACCAAGAGGCCGAGAGGCUUGCCAUCA